GGAGAUAUAGCUUAGUGGUAGAGUCUGUGCCUCCCAUGUACUAGGCCCUGGGUUCAAUCCUCAGCACCACCA
Non-coding RNA from Heterocephalus glaber (naked mole-rat), 72 nucleotides. The record is from Rfam. Lineage: Eukaryota; Metazoa; Chordata; Mammalia; Rodentia; Bathyergidae.